ACUCCUACGGGAGGCAGCAGUAGGGGAAUCUUCCACAAUGGGCGCAAGCCUGAUGGAGCAACACCGCGUGAGUGAAGAAGGGUUUCGGCUCGUAAAGCUCUGUUGUUAAAGAAGAACACGUAUGAGAGUAACUGUUCAUACGUUGACGGUAUUUAACCAGAAAGUCACGGCUAACUACGUGCCAGCAGCCGCGGUAAUACGUAGGUGGCAAGCGUUAUCCGGAUUUAUUGGGCGUAAAGAGAGUGCAGGCGGUUUUCUAAGUCUGAUGUGAAAGCCUUCGGCUUAACCGGAGAAGUGCGUCGGAAACUGGAUAACUUGAGUGCAGAAGAGGGUAGUGGAACUCCAUGUGUAGCGGUGGAAUGCGUAGAUAUAUGGAAGAACACCAGUGGCGAAGGCGGCUACCUGGUCUGCAACUGACGCUGAGACUCGAAAGCAUGGGUAGCGAACAGGAUUAGAUACCCUGGUAGGAUAGCG
This 474-nucleotide ribosomal RNA is filed under the name uncultured bacterium. RNAcentral describes it as "bacterial SSU rRNA". It matches the Rfam family "Bacterial small subunit ribosomal RNA", at positions 335 to 801 of the family's 1533-position model. The record is from RNAcentral.